This 245-nucleotide ribosomal RNA is filed under the name uncultured bacterium. RNAcentral describes it as "partial small subunit ribosomal RNA". It matches the Rfam family "Bacterial small subunit ribosomal RNA", at positions 26 to 285 of the family's 1533-position model. The record is from RNAcentral.
AGAAUCAACGCUGGCGGCGUGCCUAACACAUGCAAGUCGAACGAGAAAGUGGAGCAAUCCACGAGUAAAGUGGCGCACGGGUGAGUAACACGUGACUAACCUACCCUUGAGUGGGGAAUAACUUCGGGAAACCGAGGCUAAUACCGCAUAACACCUACGGGUCAAAGGAGCAAUUCGCUUAAGGAGGGGGUCGCGGCAGAUUAGUUAGUUGGCAGGGUAAUGGCCUACCAAGACGGUGAUCUGUA